CGGGCGGUAUCGGUGUCCGAUCGUCGCAUUUUCAGACUACCUCCAGGGCGACUUUAUUCAAAUAUUAGGUCUCUGCCAAGAGUUUGAGUGGAAACUAUGUAAAAGAGGGUGGUCUUCUCGGAUGAUCUAAUAUCUGCAAGCGUCUGCAGAAAAUUUCGGCGUCUGGCUUUUGAAAAUAUUUCGAGAGCAAUCUCUCUAUGUUUUCAUCGGGCGUGUGUAACUUCCUCUCGGCCACCGCUUCAGCCACCGGUUCUGCCAGUCGCGCAAACGUAACCAUCAAUCUUUCCGUCGGACUUGAAGCGUAAUUGCGCCGGUGUAUCCGCGGCAAUAUAUUUUUUGGCAGUGGGAGUGUUCGCGUUCCCGAGGUUUUAUCAUGCAGAGAUUGCUGGUCCAGACAUUUUCCGCAGCCGCGCUAUUUUUACGCCGAUAGGUUUUCCCGAUAUGCGGUUCUCGUUGCGAUCCUCGGCGCAACGCGAUCCAAUACGCCUGGUUCCUCUUAGAUCGCGUGAUUUAUCCGCCGACCGACCGACCGACGGAUUAAUCGCCGCCGUUACAUUCUGCUAAUGAGAUACCGGGUUUGACGGAUCGUGUGUCAUAUCCGCCGCUUGCCAAAACGCCCCGACCGAUUUCCAAGAUUGCGGUACUAUUCCGAAGCCACCAAUAUUGCUCUCAAUAGCAGAAGUAUGCGGACUGCUGUAACUCUUUGUAAAUGAACUACUUGACAUACAAAGACGUCAUCUAUUUCUAACGUAUAGGUGUACACAGUGGGGUUAAGCACUAUUUACCAUUAUCAGCGAACGUCCAUUCUACGAAGAUUCUUUCGCAAGCUUACGGAAAUUCACGUUUACGUGAAAUUGUGUCAGGCCAAAUCGAAUUGCGUUCGAUUCGUAUGUCAAGGGGUUGAUACUGUUGAAGGAUGUUCUUUGAAGGAGAGAAGCUUCCACGAUGAACGUGAGAAAGGGGUUUGUUUGUCGUUGUUCUUGGAAUGUUGUCUGCGGUGCUGCGGAUAUUGAACAAAGGGACGGAAAUAGAGGCUCGAUGGAGGAACAAGCGUUCAGAGGACCGAGAGACAUCUCUAUUUUCGAACGACUGUCGCGAUUGCAUCCGAGGAACGAGUACUAUGCUUUAUUAACGGCAGAACUGCCGAAGCUGUUGCAGCCGACGUUCUUUCAAUUUCGCAAAAAAAGAUUAAAAUAAUUUUGAAACAUCGGAAAUAGUUCAAGGAAUAUUCGCCAAGGAAUAUUCGUGGAUCUCAGGGGAAGGAAAAACAAACCAGAUUGCCUGACAGACGAUGCUAGAACAAAUUAAGAUGACAGCACGCCGCCGGAGGAACCGUUUUCUCAAGAAAUCGGAACGUCUGUCAAAUAUCUCUAUUUCUCGAUUGUGUAAACAUUUAGAGAGAUAGGGAGAGAGAGAGAAAGAGAGAGAGAGAGAGAAAGAGAGAGAGAGAUUCAAAUAUUGUUUUACUGCUGGCGGAUACUUUGUUAGGAAAAUCCCAUCAUCGAAGACGGGAGGGCAUUCGCAGACAGAGGGAUUUUUUACAAAAAAUAUUUAUACUUGUCUGCAAGGGUAAACUUCACCGAAGAAGCUGAAGAAGCUGAAGAAGUGGCUGGAAAAUAUUUGGAGGAUGUGUUUGCAAGAAGAAGAAACUAGAAGGAUUUAUCACGAAUAGUCUGCCUAUAGUAUUCCUAGAGAGAAGUUUCUGUACUAUAAAAUGGAAUAAUUUGUUAAAAAGUGGAGCAAACGAUUAGAAGGAUUAGUUUACUAGAAUAUUCGUAAAAUAAUGCGAUACGCGUUUUAUAAAUUCUCAAAUCCAGAUGAAAAAUGUAGAAAGCAUUUUUUAUUAAUAACUUCAACAUAUGGCAAUUGUCUUAAGAUUUUGUCAACGUGAUUCUUCUAAUACUUCAGGAAGGCUGAAAUCGUUUGGGCCAAUAUUAAAAAAAAACGUGGACGCAGGCAACAUGGGAAAACGAAAGAAAAAGAGACCGAUCAAGGAAGAUGUGAACUUGCCACGAUAAAACAUUGGUCCCCGGUAAAGGGUGCAGCCUAUGGGGUAUAGUAGGAAAAGUAGAAGUAGAAACGCGGAUCGAGUAUGUAGGUUGCAGAUGGAUUGGCUUACCGGGGCGUCCCAGUCAUUAACGAACUGUGGUUGGCGAAGGCACCCCCAUAGUAAUAGGGCAACCCAUCCCCGUAGUACGGCAUCGCGGGAAUCCAAAGAGUGCGUGUGCGUGUUCACGUGCGAGAUAAAAGAUCGCGGGUGAUCGAGCACCGGGUGAAAAUGCGGUGGCAGCUGUUCCACGCCACUAUCUCGAGACGACUGAGAGACACAGCACGUCGGAGGGAAUCGCGGAAUCGCAGACUCGCGUUCCCUCAGGUGUUCGCGGAGACGUUCUCGCGGUUCAGCCAGCCAACACCGACUGAGUCGAAGCCAGCGACCCAGUGUAAUAAUAGAAGUCUAGUGUGCGAGACUUUUCCUAGCGCCUAACUAUACUAGCUGGACUCUAAUAACCCGUACAGUCUCUGCGAAACGAAUAUUUCACAGAUUUCUCCCUCUCUGCACUGUUCUCCAAAGAGGUUCUCCGCAAGCUUUUGAAUCCACAGAAUAGGGCGAUUCCGCUAAGACAAUCUUGAAGAACUUUAGCUUCGCCAGCUCUCCAGCUUGACAAUGUUACCCCUUGCCUCAGGACAUCUUUUCGAGAUGCAAUAGCUGCCGAAAGCAGAGGCGAUGGAGACUGCAGAAUAUCGAUGCGCAAAAAUAUGCACAGAGCCGUGUAUUGUUUUUGUUUAGAGAAGUGGAAGGGAGCCGUUAUUAGAGCAGUCCAGGAAUUCCUUUGUCGAUCGCCGUUUAAUUAGGGAACGGUUUUUCACAUGCAGUAAGCGGUUCACGACAAACGUAAGCAAGUUGCAACGAAUGCCAGAAACGUUCCACGCGAAUUUUCGGCGAGGGUUCAGCGAGGGAGUGUUAUGCGAAUAUUUAUGCGAGGAACAACACACACAUACAUGCGCGCGCGCGCGCGCAUAUACACAUGCAAAUGGGAAACGCGCAAGCAUAGAGAGACAAGCGGUGACGGAUCGCGGACGCGGUUUUCGUGGAUUGUUUCUCGAGGAACGAGCCAAAAAGUCGUUCUCUCUUUGACGCCCAUUGUUGAUCAAGCUCGGGGAAACUUUGAAAUAGCCAGCGCGACGAACGACGAUUGCUAUUCUCGGUUCUACGGACAAUUUAAUAUAGAAAUGGACAGGUGACUGGUCGGGACCGAAACGCAAGAUCCAGACACGUCGCUGACAGUAUAUUCCUAUCCGUACUGGCGUUAUACUUGUAUAAAAUCAUCGCAGCACCGUGCGAUAUUUCAACAAUCCAUUCGAGCAAAAUUAGCUGGGCUUUCCCGGUUACAAAAUUAUUUAACAUUCGUGAUGCAUCGACUCGCAGCUAUUUUAGCUUCGAUUACAAAAAUAUAUUACCAUCGUAUGAAAUAGCAAAGAAUUUUGCAAAUGUAUCUGCUUCGUAGAACAACGUUUUCAAUGAUCUUUAUUCUCUUAGAUCGAUAGAGUAUCGCACCGUGCGAUGGUUCCGAGGCUCGUGAAGGUAACCGGUAAGGGCUGCCGAGGACACUUCUGUAUUGGCUACUUACCAUCGCACCUGAGCCCUUGCCGGAACAGGCCGUACAACAAGGAUCCGCAGUGGUCGCAAAAUGUUGGCGACAUGAAAGUGUGGGUGCGAAACCUGUGAGGCACAUCUACCUUGAAACGCUCCCUCAAGUACUGCCAUUGAACAAGUAUCAACAGAAUUAGAACGUUUCCGCCUGAGCAGAUCGUAUAAAUAGGAAGGAUGAUGAUCCAUCGGACUCAUACGUCUCGAACAGUUUUGUACCUUGAACCGAGAGAUAACGGGGGCGACCUGAUCGAAGAUCCAUCCAGUGUCAACAGUUAAAUGUUUAAUUAUUCUGUCCAAUCUUCGACCAGGUUGCAGAAUAUUCGAUAUAGGAACCUGACAGUUUUCGAUGGAAAAAUUCCACAAGCGUGUGUGGUAUUGAGGAUCAUUGAAAAUCGAGCGUGAAAAUAGAAGGCAGUUUCGUAAAUCAAGCUAGGAUCUAGGUGGAUGCACGGAGCUGCAUCGCCGAGCAAACAAACAAUCGUGUUUCCGUUUAGAGAAGAUUGACUGCGUUCGAGGAAAACGCUGCUCGAUUUUCGACGAGCCCCGAUGAUGGAAUGGAACAGUCUUGGCCGUGUCUUUCUGGAUGCUGCUCCCUCUUCGAGAACUUCCUCGUGAAUCUCUGGCCAGUGAAAGACACUUACUAUCGUGUUUUCCGAUUCCCUCCCGCUCUCUGGACACUUGGUCAACAGUUUGUCGUGGCACUUCUUGUGCACCGCCGUCUGGCAGGCUGAAACACGCAUAAAAAUCAUCCUUAGUUGGAAGACAAACGUUGGAAGACAAGUACUUCUUCGGUUAAGGUAUAAGAUUUUGUUCUUUGCUCUCUCAUCGACAUUAUUUCCAGGGACAUGCAGCACCUCGGAGAAGUCGCAGGAAUAUUUGGAGAACGCUCUUAAGAAACUACAGAGAAGGAUCAUGCAACACCCUGGGAUGGGCAGAACUAUCCUGAUGAUCAAGGAUGUCGAACAGGCUCGAAUAAUAGACUGGAUCAAGGAUCCCUUCCGAUGCAUCUGUAUAAAACCACAGCGUUCCGCAGCCGCUAUUUUAUGAUAAAUGGAGAGAUCCGCUCCGUGUUGUUAGCAGCCAACUACGCGUUAGAACUAGGCCCGAGUACUUUGAUGAACGUCUGUUUACUUCAGGAAUUCGUUUGCUAACACACCGCUGUAGAUAUUCGACAAAUAGUCGCCUCGUCGGCUACCUAUCGAAUACCUGCCAUUGAUCCAGAAGCAAACGUCCGAUCAUGGUUGAAAAGCAGUGAACAGUUACCAGAGAAAGUCUUUGCAGAAGGCGCAGAAGGUCGGCUGCCUGAAGAACUUGGCAACCAAUUUAUGGCCCCUAACAACAUGCACCUUAUUCUGCUUCACCGCUCCUCUUCUCCUGGUGAUAGCACCGCCAACCUUCUCAUGGAUCCCCUGUUCAACUGCAACCGCCGCAGCAACGUCCCUUCUAGGGACCCUGGUCUUGUACACGUAUGUCUUGCCGGUGGACGUCGACGGAGGCAAAUCAGCCGGGUUUAAAAUUGGAACUCGAGUCCUGAAAUAUUAAUUUCGAUCAGGAAUCAAGGAUAGUCUGAUUGAUUAAUUGUAGAUGCGGUCGUACAGUAGAGUUGGGCAUUCAGUGGACAAAAUGUUUACUCGAAUAAGUAUACUACAAUGUAUAGUGAUUUUCUAUACUCUAUUCGACUAUGUUAAGAGCUUUCAGGAUAUUACAUCCGAAUGUUACAAAUCAAAUUUGCCCAACUCUGGUAUACCGUUUUCAACGACUACGUACCGGCCGGCUCACCUGUAAAUGUAGCCUUCCGCAGGCGCGCGGGUCUGCGGACUCUUACGGUCUGCCGAUGACUUCCGAUCCGCUGAGGACUUCCGGUUCGAGGACGCGCUGCCACCGGUAUUCCAUCUCUUGGCGUGGGAGCCUCCGGUGAACAUCAUCUUGAAGGAUUCAAGGUCCCUAAACUAGAAGGUCUGCAUCUCGGGAGCGUUUUCUGUUGGUCGCCCAGAAGCAUUCUUCAGGAAUCAACGAUCACGCGGUUGUACCGUUAGAUAGAGGAUAAACAAGAUAAUGAUUGAUAUUCGUUUGCAAGUACUGCUAUUGGCAAUGAUAGACAACCAUCAACAUCGACUAGGCAGCGCUGGCAAGCAGCCUCCGCGGAGAUUCGAACAGAAGGCCUCUGUUCCAAUCCUUGAGGACAAUCUAAAAAAAGGGUGACUAAUGCGCGGGGGAAGAAACGAUGCGUCGAAGAAGUGCCUCUAGAACGUGGUAGAUGGAACCGGGUUUUCCUCCGUUUUCGGACUCCGUUCUCGUUCGGGCGAUUCAUUGUCUCUCGCGACCAUAAGCAGUACCAGCGAUGUUCAAAACGUCAGCUACACGUCUCCGCUGGUCGCACGUCCGUCGAUCGAUGCACACCGAUUGAUCCGUAUGCGUUUUUCGCAGGGCUUCCGGUGAACAGGACACGAUGAUACAGAGAGUCUCGGUCACCACGGCGGUCCGAAGUCCAUGGAUCAUCGAUACGGUGCUGUCGAGAACACAGGAACUGAAUUUUGACGCCUAAAACGUUGUAGGUUUGCGCGAAACUCUCGAAUCUAUAAAUAUCAGCCUGUUGAAUGCCGCCCGCCAUCAGGCCUCCUAGCGCCGCACGCGGAAAAUAUUCUAGAUCCCGAUGAUCAUUCGAGUGUUCCAGCCUGGAACAGUCCCCCGAUACCUUAUUCUCACACUCUUAUCGUCGUUCGAAUCCAACAUCUUAAUAAUAAUAUUUACAGCUUUACGCUAUUCCCAAUGUAGCAUCGAGCUCGACAAUGUUCCUCUAUCGUUGCGUUUCUGUCCGUCUCCUCCGGUAUUCGGUGUGCGACGAACUGCGAGACGAUAUGGAACCCUUUGAUCGACGAGGACACUAACGUGAACAAUUCCCUUUACGUCUCGCUGGUUUUUCUGAGUUGAAGGAGGAAAUUGGAAUGCAGGCGUCGACUUUUUAUGCAAACGUUUGUAUUUAGUUAAUGUAAUUAACGAUGUGUACAGUGAAUUUUGUUUCUGUAUGCAGCAAAUACAGAGAAACGUAGUUACUCGUGGAUCGUAUCGGUGAUUAGCGCGUUAAGUAAUUCCCAUAGUUCGUUACCGGCGCGUCACGCAAAACAAUCAUGACGAUAACGCUCUCGGCCUGGUAUACUCGUUACCUGGCCGAAACAUGAUUGAUAAAUAUAUUGCUAAGCAAAAUGUUAGAGAGGAGCCGCCUUGAACACAGCCAUACAACUUCACACGGUCUUGCCUGGCGCUAUUUACAAAUUAAAGUACAAUUAGUUACAGGGAUUCGACACUCGUACACGCGUCGAUGUUUCCUCGCUUUUUUUUGUGCUCGCAAGAAUGUUGAAGAUUCGCGGCGUAUAUAUAUGUAUAUGUUUGUGUACGUGUGUAUGCGAUGUGCAACAAAAUCGUUUUCUCGGUGAGCGUGUGCGAUUUUUUCGUAAUGUCUUGAUUGCUCACGGCAGAACUACGCGUCUAAAUAAAGAUGAACUUAAGACGGUA
Non-coding RNA from Megalopta genalis, 7165 nucleotides. The record is from RefSeq and is a predicted model, not a curated record. Lineage: Eukaryota; Metazoa; Arthropoda; Insecta; Hymenoptera; Halictidae.